Molecule: long non-coding RNA, 269 nt
Filed under: Anas platyrhynchos platyrhynchos (common mallard)
Lineage: Eukaryota; Metazoa; Chordata; Aves; Anseriformes; Anatidae
Description: lncRNA (ENSAPLG00000022483.1)
Source: RNAcentral
GAGAUUCAUGUGCGUCCACUUUGAGAAGAAGCAGGGUGGGAGGUCAUGAGAAAAAUAGUUUUCAAAUCAAGCCGGGAAUGAUUUCCACAAGGAAGUCCCUGAAAAACACACAUUCAGUGUCAUCCAAGAGCCCUUGCAGGUUUGAUGGCACCAGCAGGUUCCUCUUCAGAGACCUUUCAGCAAGUGACCCUGCAGCAACAGAAAGCUUCUUCCCACUGACGAGCAUCUUCUGGACUUGUCUGUGCAGAGACUGGGAUGAUAUAUGGUCG